This 440-nucleotide ribosomal RNA is filed under the name uncultured bacterium. RNAcentral's name for it is "partial 16S ribosomal RNA". It matches the Rfam family "Bacterial small subunit ribosomal RNA", at positions 338 to 795 of the family's 1533-position model. The record is from RNAcentral.
CCUACGGGAGACAGCAGUGGGGGAUAGUGCACAAUGGGGGAAACCCUGAUGCAGCGACGCCGCGUGGGGGAAGACGGUCCUCUGGAUUGUAAACCACGGUCCCCAGGGACGAAGAUGACGGUACCUGGGGAGGAAGCGCCGGCUAACUACGUGCCCGCAGCACCGGAAAUACGUAGGGAGCGAGCGUUGUCCGGAAUGACGGGGUGUCAAGGGAGCGUAGGCGGGACUGCAAGUUGGGUGUCAAAUCUACCGGCGCAACCGGUAGCCGCACUCCAAACUGCAGUUCUUGAGUGAAGUAGAGGCAGGCGCACUUCCUAGUGUAGCGGUGAAAUGCGUAGAUAUUAGGCGGAACCCCAGUGGCGACGGCGGCCUGCUGGGCUUUUCCUGACGCUGAGGCUCGAAAGUGUGGGGAGCACACCGGAUUAGCUACCCCAGUAGUC